This 437-nucleotide ribosomal RNA is filed under the name uncultured bacterium. RNAcentral describes it as "bacterial SSU rRNA". It matches the Rfam family "Bacterial small subunit ribosomal RNA", at positions 343 to 797 of the family's 1533-position model. The record is from RNAcentral.
AGGAGGCAGCAGUGAGGAAUAUUGGACAAUGGGCGCAAGCCUGAUCCAGCAAUGCCGCGUGAGUGAUGAAGGCCUUCGGGUCGUAAAGCUCUUUUACCAGGGAUGAUAAUGACAGUACCUGGAGAAUAAGCUCCGGCUAACUCCGUGCCAGCAGCCGCGGUAAUACGGAGGGAGCUAGCGUUGUUCGGAAUUACUGGGCGUAAAGCGCGCGUAGGCGGUCUACCAAGUCAGGGGUGAAAUCCCGGGGCUCAACCCCGGAACUGCCCUUGAAACUAUUAGACUAGAAUCUUGGAGAGGUCAGUGGAAUUCCGAGUGUAGAGGUGAAAUUCGUAGAUAUUCGGAAGAACACCAGUGGCGAAGGCGACUGACUGGACAAGUAUUGACGCUGAGGUGCGAAAGCGUGGGUAGCAAACAGGAUUAGAUACCCCUGUAGUCCC